UGAAGAUUCGAACCGAGAGCGGUGGAGACAAACACACUGACACACACACUGGGAACGCCCCUCACGUGAUGUCACGGGCACGUGGGCUUGAAGUAAAAGCCACAGUUAUGUUCCAGAGUGAACAGAACAGCACGAAAAAGAUCAAUAAGGUCAAGAUUAACGAGUGCCUUCAUUAGAUUGUGAUGUUGCUUCUGUCAAAAAGUGGUACAGCAAGGAUCAGAACAUAUUUCCUGUGCCGUGGCAGACCACCUUUAACAAGCCCCUGGACAGUUUGGCAGUGGAGGCUACACGUCCAACCCAAAACAGUUAGGAGCACAAUAUGUAUCCAAUUUAACAAUGUUUUUUUUCUGUUUCUUUGAAAAAUGUUGUCUUUAGUUGUCUUACUAAAAUAAAUAAGCAAAUGUUUUAUUGGUACUUUUUUGUCAGCUGUCUUAUUUUGAGAACAAUUAUGAAUAUAUGAUAUAAUGAA
Molecule: long non-coding RNA, 469 nt
Organism: Colossoma macropomum (tambaqui)
Lineage: Eukaryota; Metazoa; Chordata; Actinopteri; Characiformes; Serrasalmidae
Exons: 3
Source: RefSeq, a predicted model, not a curated record